GAUGAACGCUAGCGGGAGGCCUAACACAUGCAAGCCGAGCGGGAUUUGUUGGUUAGCUUGCUAACUAACAAUGAGAGCGGCGUACGGGUGCGUAGCACGUGUGCAACCUGCCUUUAUCUGGGGGAUAGCCUUUCGAAAGGAAGAUUAAUACCCCAUAACAUAUUGAUUGGCAUCAGUUAAUAUUGAAAGCUCCGGCGGAUAGAGAUGGGCACGCGUAAGAUUAGCUAGUUGGCGAGGUAACGGCUCACCAAGGCUGCGAUCUUUAGGGGGCCUGAGAGGGUGAUCCCCCACACUGGUACUGAGACACGGACCAGACUCCUACGGGAGGCAGCAGUGAGGAAUAUUGGACAAUGGGUGAGAGCCUGAUCCAGCCAUCCCGCGUGAAGGACUAAGGACCUAUGGUUUGUAAACUUCUUUUAUACAGGGAUAAACCUACUCUCGUGAGGGUAGCUGAAGGUACUGUAUGAAUAAGCACCGGCUAACUCCGUG
Molecule: ribosomal RNA, 489 nt
Filed under: uncultured bacterium
Lineage: Bacteria
Description: partial 16S ribosomal RNA
Rfam family: Bacterial small subunit ribosomal RNA
Source: RNAcentral